GGGGCAUUAGCUCAGCUGGGAGAGCGUCUGCUUUGCACGCAGAAGGUCAGCGGUUCGAUCCCGCUAUGCUCCACCA
Molecule: transfer RNA, 76 nt
Filed under: Bacillus sp. CAG:988
Lineage: Bacteria; Bacillati; Bacillota; Bacilli; Caryophanales; Bacillaceae
Also listed under: 2 other names
Description: transfer RNA-Ala(TGC)
Rfam family: tRNA
About the family: Transfer RNA (tRNA) molecules are approximately 80 nucleotides in length. Their secondary structure includes four short double-helical elements and three loops (D, anti-codon, and T loops).
Source: RNAcentral